Rhodnius prolixus is the source of this 496-nucleotide non-coding RNA. NCBI's taxonomy places the organism in Eukaryota, Metazoa, Arthropoda, Insecta, Hemiptera, Reduviidae. The record is from Rfam.
UAAUAAUGUAGGUAAGGGAAGUCGGCAAAUCCGAUCCGUAACUUCGGAAUAAGGAUUGGCUCUGAGGACUGUCGUGCCGGGCUUGGUCGGGAAGUGGAGCGGUGUCAACGUGCCGGGCCUGGACGAGGAGAAAAUUGCGUAUCUGCGCUUUUGGAUCCGAGCUCGGUCCCGUGCUUUGGCCACCCACGGAUCUUCCUUGCUGCGAGUGGUUAGCCGUGUGGUUACCGCUUGCUUUUGCUAGCUAGUCGACCUGGCUUACGAUCUCUUCGGCUGAUAUUCAACAGUCAACUCAGAACUGGCACGGACAACGGGAAUCCGACUGUCUAAUUAAAACAAAGCAUUGCGAUGGCCCCAACGGGUGUUGACGCAAUGUGAUUUCUGCCCAGUGUUCUGAAUAUCAAAGUGAAUAUAUAUAUUCGCAGAGGGCUUUCUAUCAAAAAAUAAAAAUAUAAUUUAUAAAAGUAGCAACAGAAUAUUACUGUGUCUUCCUAACUUA